Long non-coding RNA from Choloepus didactylus (southern two-toed sloth), 151 nucleotides. RefSeq lists it as uncharacterized. The transcript is spliced from 3 exons. Lineage: Eukaryota; Metazoa; Chordata; Mammalia; Pilosa; Megalonychidae. The record is from RefSeq and is a predicted model, not a curated record.
GCGUAAUGUGAGAGUCAGAAUUCAUCAGCUGCCAGACUGUGCUCACAGCAGAUUGCGGAGACUCAACAAAGAGCCCAGGUGCACACAACAUGAAUCAAGCUCUUUAUACAUUUUAAUUACAGUUUCGCACAAGUGAAAGAGAGAAGCAGGA